Molecule: ribosomal RNA, 403 nt
Filed under: uncultured bacterium
Lineage: Bacteria
Description: bacterial SSU rRNA
Rfam family: Bacterial small subunit ribosomal RNA
Source: RNAcentral
GACGAACGCUGGCGGCGUGCUUAACACAUGCAAGUCGAGCGAGGUCCAACCAGUGGCAACACUGGGGAAGACCUAGCGGCGAACGGGUGAGUAACACGUGAGCAACCUGCCCCGAAGACUGGGAUAACACCGGGAAACCGGUGCUAAUACCGGAUGCCCUCACCGGGCCGCAUGACCUGGUGAGGAAAUGAAUUUUGCUUCGGGAGGGGCUCGCGGGCUAUCAGCUUGUUGGUGGGGAACGGCUCACCAAGGCUACGACGGCUAGCUGGUCUGAGAGGACGAUCAGCCACACUGGGACUGAGACACGGCCCAGACUCCUACGGGAGGCAGCAGUGGGGAAUCUUGCGCAAUGGGCGAAAGCCUGACGCAGCAACGCCGCGUGGGGGAUGAAUGCCUUCGGGUU